This 616-nucleotide ribosomal RNA is filed under the name Salmonella enterica subsp. enterica serovar Agona. Its description in RNAcentral is "partial 23S ribosomal RNA". It matches the Rfam family "Bacterial large subunit ribosomal RNA", at positions 2238 to 2848 of the family's 2925-position model. Lineage: Bacteria; Pseudomonadati; Pseudomonadota; Gammaproteobacteria; Enterobacterales; Enterobacteriaceae. The record is from RNAcentral.
AUCCGGGUUGCGGACAGUGUCUGGUGGGUAGUUUGACUGGGGCGGUCUCCUCCUAAAGAGUAACGGAGGAGCACGAAGGUUGGCUAAUCCUGGUCGGACAUCAGGAGGUUAGUGCAAUGGCAUAAGCCAGCUUGACUGCGAGCGUGACGGCGCGAGCAGGUGCGAAAGCAGGUCAUAGUGAUCCGGUGGUUCUGAAUGGAAGGGCCAUCGCUCAACGGAUAAAAGGUACUCCGGGGAUAACAGGCUGAUACCGCCCAAGAGUUCAUAUCGACGGCGGUGUUUGGCACCUCGAUGUCGGCUCAUCACAUCCUGGGGCUGAAGUAGGUCCCAAGGGUAUGGCUGUUCGCCAUUUAAAGUGGUACGCGAGCUGGGUUUAGAACGUCGUGAGACAGUUCGGUCCCUAUCUGCCGUGGGCGCUGGAGAACUGAGGGGGGCUGCUCCUAGUACGAGAGGACCGGAGUGGACGCAUCACUGGUGUUCGGGUUGUCAUGCCAAUGGCACUGCCCGGUAGCUAAAUGCGGAAGAGAUAAGUGCUGAAAGCAUCUAAGCACGAAACUUGCCCCGAGAUGAGUUCUCCCUGAGACUUAGAGUCUCCUGAAGGAACGUUGAAGACGAC